This 497-nucleotide ribosomal RNA is filed under the name uncultured bacterium. RNAcentral describes it as "partial 16S ribosomal RNA". It matches the Rfam family "Bacterial small subunit ribosomal RNA", at positions 28 to 507 of the family's 1533-position model. The record is from RNAcentral.
GAUGAACGCUGGCGGCGUGCCUAAUACAUGCAAGUCGAGCGAACAGACGAGGAGCUUUCUCCUCUGACGUUAGCGGCGGACGGGUGAGUAACACGUGGAUAACCUACCUAUAAGACUGGGAUAACUUCGGGAAACCGGAGCUAAUACCGGAUAACAUGUUGAACCGCAUGGUUCAACAGUGAAAGACGGUUUUGCUGUCACUAAUAGAUGGAUCCGCGCCGCAUUAGCUAGUUGGUAAGGUAACGGCUUACCAAGGCAACGAUGCGUAGCCGACCUGAGAGGGUGAUCGGCCACACUGGAACUGAGACACGGUCCAGACUCCUACGGGAGGCAGCAGUAGGGAAUCUUCCGCAAUGGGCGAAAGCCUGACGGAGCAACGCCGCGUGAGUGAAGAAGGUCUUCGGAUCGUAAAACUCUGUUAUUAGGGAAGAACAAAUGUGUAAGUAACUAUGCACGUCUUGACGGUACCUAAUCAGAAAGCCACGGCUAACUACGUG